Amaranthus tricolor (Joseph's coat) is the source of this 539-nucleotide long non-coding RNA. RefSeq lists it as uncharacterized. NCBI's taxonomy places the organism in Eukaryota, Viridiplantae, Streptophyta, Magnoliopsida, Caryophyllales, Amaranthaceae. The transcript has 3 exons. The record is from RefSeq and is a predicted model, not a curated record.
UAAAAUUUCAAAAAUCGAGAGAGCGGCAAACUUUCAAAAACUCCAGUUUCUCACAACGGCUUCAACUUACAGUCACACACAUAUCUUUCAAACCCCUAAAUUACAGAUUUUUUCGAAACCCUAGCCGAUCAUACGUUCAAAUUCAACCACAUAACAAUUCCAAAUUCGAUUUAAUAUUAAAGCGUCUCGAUUUUUGCCAAUUCAUCAACUUCUGUUAAAGAUCGUCGAAAAUGGGCGUCGAAAACUACCACGUCAUUGAGCUUGUUGGUGAGGGUUCUUUUGGUAAAGUUUACAAAGGAAGAAGAAAAUACACUGGUCAGACUGUUGCGAUGAAGUUUAUAGUGAAGCAUGGAAAGAGUGAAAGAUCUUCAUAACCUAAGGCAGGAAAUUGAGUGAUGAAGCUUCGACAAGUACAAGUGGUGGUCCACGCGUUAUGGGUUCGCAAUUGUUAAAAGAACACAAAUGAAGGCCAUGAAAGAAGGCGCGCAGAUGAUGAAUAUGACGAUGAACGUACAGGAUCUCAUAAUUCAAUAGAUGUU